AGUGAACGCUGGCGGUAGGCCUAACACAUGCAAGUCGAACGGCAGCACAGUAAGAGCUUGCUCUUACGGGUGGCGAGUGGCGGACGGGUGAGGAAUACAUCGGAAUCUACUUUUUCGUGGGGGAUAACGUAGGGAAACUUACGCUAAUACCUCAUACGACCUACGGGUGAAAGCAGGGGAUCUUCGGACCUUGCGCGAUUGAAUGAGCCGAUGUCGGAUUAGCUAGUUGGCGGGGUAAAGGCCCACCAAGGCGACGAUCCGUAGCUGGUCUGAGAGGAUGAUCAGCCACACUGGAACUGAGACACGGUCCAGACUCCUAAGGGAGGCAGCAGUGGGGAAUAUUGGACAAUGGGCGCAAGCCUGAUCCAGCCAUACCGCGUGGGUGAAGAAGGCCUUCGGGUUGUAAAGCCCUUUUGUUGGGAAAGAAAAGCAGCAGGUUAAUACCCCGCUGUUCUGACGGUACCCAAAGAAUAAGCACCGGCUAACUUCGUG
Molecule: ribosomal RNA, 492 nt
Filed under: uncultured bacterium
Lineage: Bacteria
Description: partial 16S ribosomal RNA
Rfam family: Bacterial small subunit ribosomal RNA
Source: RNAcentral